UACGGAGGGAGCUAGCGUUGUUCGGAAUUACUGGGCGUAAAGCGCACGUAGGCGGCUUUUUAAGUCAGGGGUGAAAUCCCGGGGCUCAACCCCGGAACUGCCCUUGAAACUGGAGAGCUAGAAUCUUGGAGAGGCGAGUGGAAUUCCGAGUGUAGAGGUGAAAUUCGUAGAUAUUCGGAAGAACACCAGUGGCGAAGGCGACUCGCUGGACAAGUAUUGACGCUGAGGCACGAAAGCGUGGGGAUCAAACAGG
Molecule: ribosomal RNA, 253 nt
Filed under: uncultured bacterium
Lineage: Bacteria
Description: partial 16S ribosomal RNA
Rfam family: Bacterial small subunit ribosomal RNA
Source: RNAcentral